UACAGGGGGGGCAAGCGUUGUUCGGAAUUACUGGGCGUAAAGGGUCUGUAGGUGGCCAACUAAGUCAGACGUGAAAUCCCUCAGCUUAACUGGGGAACUGCGUCUGAUACUGGAUGGCUUGAGUGUGGGAGAGGAAUGCGGAAUUCCAGGUGUAGCGGUGAAAUGCGUAGAUAUCUGGAGGAACACCGGUGGCGAAGGCGGCCUGCUGGGCAGUAGCUGACGCUGAGGCGCGACAGCGUGGGGAGCAAACAGG
This 253-nucleotide ribosomal RNA is filed under the name uncultured bacterium. RNAcentral's name for it is "partial 16S ribosomal RNA". It matches the Rfam family "Bacterial small subunit ribosomal RNA", at positions 524 to 776 of the family's 1533-position model. The record is from RNAcentral.